RNAcentral lists this long non-coding RNA (7701 nucleotides) under Gallus gallus (chicken). The record is from RNAcentral. Lineage: Eukaryota; Metazoa; Chordata; Aves; Galliformes; Phasianidae.
GGACAGAGUGCAGCUAAUAAGUAGAAAGAAAAGAAACUUUAGAAAAAAAUCUACCUGUAUUGAUGGGAGUCUUCUUCCAGGCGGCAGCGCUGCCCUUGCUGACAGGUCUCUCAGCAUGCUUACCUGGCCUACUCCCAAGUGCUGCUGCAGACGAUGCAUUCUGCAACUUGGGUGACUGGCUAAAUGCAUGCAACACUCCCCGCGGGGCUCCAGAGCCUCGAGACAUCUGGCUAGAAGUCUGCUUGAGCGAGUGGUGCUGCACGAUGGGGUCUGACUUGCUCUGUACGGGAGAUGCAGUCUGUUGCAGUAUCCUCUGCUCGAUCUCCUGCUCCUGCUGCAGAGCUUUGACGAAGGCAGCCUUCAGCCUGUUAGUGUGCUCUGCUUUCAAGGCCUUCUUCUGAUUGGAUGUCAUACAGGUUUCACACAUGAUGGUUCCAUUCUUCUCCUCCCUCCAGCGGCAGGUGAAGUCAGUCUUACACUGAGCGCACAUAUAGGGCUCGCGAGAUGAAACGGGGAUGGAAACUUUACCUUGAGUUUCCAGCAAAUUCUGCACCACUUCUUCCAAUCCAACCAGGUAAAUGAAUUCGUUAUUAGCUGCGCUGGGCAGGAAGUUCAUCUCUGGAGCAGGAGGCUUCGGAGGAGGGAUCUCCAGCAGUGUCUUCUCCAGCUGCUUCCGCAGCGCCAGCUUGGCUGCAGCUUGCCGGCUGGCGGGCGACUCGUUGGAGUUGACGAUGGAAGCAGCACUGGUGGUGGUCGCAUUCGCCUGAGCCGACGUCACCGUUGUACCCUUGAUUGAAGUUGGAGAGGCCUGCGGGAUGUUGACGAUCAGGCUGGUAUUGGGGACGUUGGCCACCCGGAUCAGACCCUGCUGGAUAAUUCUCUGCCCCUGAAUUUGCACGCUGGGGACCGAUGCCCGCGGUGCCAGCAGCAGUGGAGGUGGCCCCGUGCUGGAGUGCUGUCGGAUGUUGUGGAUUUGCUGUGCUCCUCUGACAAGGGGUGGCAUGACUAUCUGUGUGUUUUGCUGGGUUCCUAAUUUUGCAGAGGUCUGCUGCCCACCACGAACCAAUGGAGGAGGAAUAACAGUGCCCGGUAUACGUGUAGAAGAGGUCUUCUGAGCAGUGGUCUCCUUCUGGAUUUGACUCUGCCGUAACUUCUUCAAUAGGACCAGCUUUGCUUCCUCUAACCGCAGCUCUUCCUUCAGCUGUUUGAUCAUCCUCUCACGCUCCUCAGGACUGCUUUUCAUGAGUGCCUCUGUGUUGGUCUCUUUUAAUGCUAUUUUUGUUAAACCAUUCAUUCUAGGGCUAGAAGGUUCAUUGUCUGACAGCACUAUGACGUCCGGGGAGGGGACUCGCUUCUCUCUCUUUAUUUCACUUUUGGAAGUACUCAUGUCCACGGGCUCGUCUCCCGUCUGAACCUCCACUUUAAUGGUUGCUUUCACCUCUCCGCUUUUUAACAGUCCUUGCACUUUUCCAGCUCCGGGGUCCGUUUUUAUUUUCAUGUCUCCUUCGGCACUUAUUUCAGUUCCUAACAGUCCUUUCUCCAUCUUUAGUUUCUUGCUGUCCACAUCGUUAUGCGGUACCUCACGUUCUAAGGCUCGUUUCUGACUUCGUGUCCUGCAUGCUUCCUCUGUCAUUGUGAGGCUCUGUCAGUGAGGUUCAUGGGUCCCGCGGGGGGUCCUGUCUGCACCCAGGGGCUGAAAGUGACCGCAGUGCAGGUCAGCCGCGCCGCGUCCCGCCGCUCCCCGCCGGCUCUCCCCCGCUCCGCUCAGCUCCGCGCCGCCCUUUCCUCUCUUCCCCCGCGUCGCCGCGGGCUCUCCCCGGUGCGGGCUGUCGGCCGCGGCUCCCCCGUGCCAAAUAAUGCGCUUCUCACACAUGGAGUCGCGGCGUCACUCGGCGGAGCAUGCGCGCGGCGGGGCCCGGAGCGCGGCGGGGCCGGGAGGAGCGGCGGCAGCGCGGCCCCGCGCCGCUUCCGGGCAAUGGUGGAGCAGAUUGACGACUGCGCUGCCCAAUGAGAAACCGUGGUGUCCAAUCCCGCCAGCCAAUCGUGGCCACAGCCCGCCUUCGGCCAGCCCCCAUGCGAAGCCGCGAGGAACGAGGUGGGGCGAUGCUUAUGAUUGACGGGUAUCCUGACCACUAGGCUUCAAGCGACACCGCGUGAGUGGGCAAUCGGUAGCCAAUGCGCGGGGAAGGGGCGGGGCCGGGCCGCGAGGCGCGGGGUGGGGCCGCCCCCGAGGCCGGCUGAGGUCGGGGUGCGCGGGCACUGCCGGGCCCUCCGCCACGCCUCCGGGCUGAAGCGCGCCGUGCCGCAGGUGAGGGCCGCCCGAGUCCGGCCGCCGUCUGAGCGGGGCCGGAGGGGCGGUCCGAGAGCCGCCGGGAUCGCGCAGCGCCGCACUGCGCUGCCGGAACGCCGCGCUCCGGGCCGUGUCCGCCCCCCUCCCCCCUCUGCUUUCUGCCGCUGUUUCGCCCCGGAUGGAACAUCCGCAGCUCACGCAGCGCUCGGUGUCUCCUCCGUUUUAAAACCUGGAGGCGCUGUUGGCGAUACGUCGCUCUCUUCCACCCGUUGCGCAGCCCCGUUUCGCUCCGGGCUUCACCUGAGGCGGCCGAGCGCUGCAGGUCGGUGCUGACGGUGCCGGUCCGCCCUCGCGGCGCCGCCCGUUCACCUCCCUGCCUCAGCGGGGCCGCCAAAGCAGCAGAACUCCUCGCUUACCCGGCCGGGAGCUGCGGCUGUUCCCAGAAAUCUCCAUCGGUAACUUUUCCCGAAGCCGUCGUUCGGGUUCGAGCCUUCACGCGGCGAGCGGCUCCAUGGGAUGAAACCUAUUCGGCUGCUUCUGUGGUGCGAUGCGAGGCGCUGGCGAGCAGCUCGGGGGGUGCUUUGGAAGGGGACCGUAUGGCACAGGGCCUGAAACGCGUCGUUGCUUCCAAGUCUCGCUGCGGAUGGGUCAGCUCGGUGCAUUUCUUCCUUCUAAGUGUCAGGUCGGGAUGUGAAAAUACCUGCCCGAACUGCUCCAGCUGUGGGGUAAAGAGGCAGAAAGCACUUUUCCCUUAAACCAGAUCCCAUUUAUGAAGAUCAAACGUGAUAUCCAUCCUGAGAGCGCAACUGCGGUGAAUAAAUACCUCUGGCUUAGAGCUAAUUAAGAAAUAACAACCCCAGCUGUUGGACCGACCUGCAGAAGCCUUGUUGUAACCCUGACAUCUGCCCGCCUCCAGCAGUCCCUGCGAGUUCCUGGCCACAUCAGCCUUCCCUGGUCCUGCAGCAGCGUGCAGAGGAGACUGGCCAGGCUGGUGGUGGGUCCGUUCUGUGCCUGGAACUGUACGGGAGGUGGUCCAUCUGUCCACUGCAAGAUAACAAACAGCAUGAAAAUCCUCCAGCCACGACCUGGGAAGGGGAGGAGCAGCAGCAAGGCCAGAAAAAGGAGCUGCCCACACACACAUUGACUACCUUGAGAUCAUUUACUGAUUUCAUGACAAGCUGAGCAUCAGGUUUGACUCUGUGUCAUGUGCAUGGAGCAGGGGGAACUGUGACUUGCACAAAUGACAGACCUCAAUUUAGAUGCUUCUGUUUGAGCCCAUUCUACAGUGCAGCUACAGUGUUUCCAGAGUGAAUGAAGCCUCUGGUUCUCACCCGUUUCAUGUUUUCCUCUCAAAUUUAUCAAAAUCUCCUGAACUAGGCAGAUUUUGUAGUUUUUAAUCCUCUUCCACCUCCACAUUUUUAAUCUAGCAUGGAUUACACAUAAGCCAGCAAUGGCAAGCAAAGUCAGCAGAGCAUACAGCACAGGGGGAUGGGCUGUGGGCAUCACCAACGUGGGCUGCACAGCACAUGUGGGUCUCAGGAUCCCUCUGCAGCCAAAGCAAUCAGCUUCUUCCUGGCAGCCUUUUUUUUCCCCUCUCAUAAAGGGAACGUUGGGAAAAGAUGUCAGGUUUCCCUGCAUCCCACAUUCACAUUUGGACGUUAUUUCAGUCUGAAAGAAUGGCUUAUCUUUCACUUUUGCUGAAUUCCAGCAUAAGAGAGCACUUUGGUAUUUUUAAGCUAUGUUAAAAGUGUUUCUGACAGUGAGAAGUCCAAAAGAGGAACCCCUUAAGGUAGCAGCUCUACAGACAUUGAAUGUCAUUAACUGGAAAUUCAGAUUUAUAGAUAAGGUGAAAACCCACAAAUGCUAGAAUUAUCUCAAUAGAAACCAUACUCAUAGCAGUACUCAAAGCAUUCCCCUGAAGAAGGGGAUCUAAACAUUAAAAUUAAACCCGAGUAUCCAUUAAUUUUCUUUCAAAAGUAGCAGCUGUCCCCAGCACAAAGUGGCUACCUGCUACAGAAGGCAUUAAAAGAAAGUUCUGGAGUGCCAAUAAAACCACUGAAGGAAACAAAGACCUCACAGGGAUAUCGAGGGAAAGCAAAGCACGCUGUCCUGCCUCAAGAGUGCCCAGAACCAGAAGAUGAAGAUUGCUUACCGUGAUUAAAUUGUGUUCUGGAAGACUGCAUGCUUCAAUGUGGUCCUGGAGGAGCUGCUGUGAGAAGUUCUGAUGCAUCUGUGCUGCCUCAUGUGCAUCCAUUGCAUUUCCACAGGCUUUGUUCAGGUCUGAAAGACAAGAGCUUCAUUUGCUCACCAAGAACCACCGUUCACACUUAUCUUCUCUGAUGUGACUCUUCCCCAUAGUAAUGAAUGAAUGACUUAAACUGCCAAUAUAUCAAGGCCAUCCCACUCAGAAGGGCAGGGGCACAUUGAGAACCUGAGCCUUUCCUCCUUCCAACAUUGCAGGAUUUGAUGUUAUUUUAGUUUCCAAUCAUUCAAAUAACACUACGCUAAUUGGACAAGCAGGAAAGCACCUCCUUACCCAGCAGAGCCCCUGUGCUGCAGGCACACACACUCUCUAUGUUCUGGCACCAUCUAGUGGGAAUGAGGGCUCACCAGUUUGUCACCAUGCUUUGGCAGCACAGACCUCACAGCAGUUCAUUUAUUUUCCCUCCUCGUUCCCCUUUGCUUUCAGGCCCUCACAGCCUGCAGCUCUGCCCAUCCCCAACGCAGCUCCUAUUGUCUUGUUUCCUGUGAGGUUUGCUGGCAUAUAUUAGCUCAGCCACAUUUCAGAAUGGUAACACAGUAAGCAUGGCAAUGUUAGCUAACAGGGAUAAGCAGUGUAGAGGUGAGGGCUGAGACACACAGCUCCUGUUGGUGAACAAGUGCUGGCAUUCCACUGCUCCUGAUGGAGCACCUCUUCAAAAGAGAAUCUAUCCGUUCCAUGGGAGAGCUCUUAGAAAAACCAAAGCAGAAUGGGAAUGGUGCCUCUGUGACAGGAGCAGCAACAGCUGAACAAGGGACAGCCUUUCAUCUACAGUAGAUUCAUUAUUAUUAUUGGCAUGUUUUGUAUGUCAACCACCACUUGGAAACGAAUGAGAGAAGUUAUUUCAAUUGCCUAGAAGCAAUUUUGUAGCAAAGGCAGUAGCAAAGCAGAACAUAAGCCUGGCCCAGUGCUUGGUUUACAGCACCAUGCUUAUAGCAAACACGACAGCUUAAUAGAAACUGAAACUGUGGGGUAAGUUCUUGGGAAAGGGGUAGAGUUACUGCUUUAUUUUCUAGUGAAAGCAAAUCAAUUGCAGCAUUAACGCUGACAGUCUGCCAAGAAGCUAGUCAAUAUUUGAACAAAGCAUCCUGGGGCCCAUGCAAGUCAGAUUAAACAAUAUUUAUGUAUGAGAGAUAUAACAGUCUCUUGUAUUUAUUAAGGCCCCCACACAGAAGCAAAGCCUAAUAAAAUGUUUACUGAAGCAAGAGCUGCAGUCAGAGCAAAGCCCUGCAACAACAGCACGGAUGCUGCAUGGCUGUGACCUGCAGCCCUUCCCAAGCAGUCACAGUAUUCUGCACGCCCAUGCACUCAGUCUGCAUGACGAGCAUCCCCACACAGACUCCCAGUGAGCAGCAGUGGUUCUUUGCCACUCAUUUUAAGCACAAGACAUUUUCCUCCCUUACCUCUCAGCAGAGCUGAAGACCACAGCUGCACAGACAUAUCCGGGAUCUUGCUUGCAAGCUGCAUGGCUGGCACUACCAUAUUAUUACUUUCCUGGUGAAAAGCAGACAUCAACAUCAAAGACGUACUUUUUCCCCUUCCAAAUAUGUAAUGUAUCGAAGAGAUGCUUUUGCCUAAUUUAAUUGCUAGCUAGCAAGCUGAAAUGCUUAAUGGGACAAUAACGCAAACAGAUCAUCUAAAGCUGCCUGGAAUUUUGCCUUGUCCCAGGCAUUAUGGUGUCUGUGUUGUGCAAGACAAUAGAAAUAUUUCACACAUUCUGGCAUACGAUGAGAAUUCAGAAGAGCUCACACCCACAAUUCCUUCCAAGCAAUCCCACUGCAUGACGUUACUUGUCCUUUAUUCUAUUGUUUUUUUUUUCCCCCCCCGAGUGAUUUCAGGCAUUACAGAAACACCUAUCUCUACAAUAGCAGCCAAACACUACUGCUUUGUAAAGAGUGUUGCUCAGUGUGCAAGAAUGGUGUAUAUCCACGAGCUGCCGGCUCUCAGUGGGGCACCUACAUACAAACACUCCUGAACACAACCUGAGAAGCGCCCCAAUUUGCUCUGGCAAAUCAAUAAGCACACAGUAGCAGCAGACACACGAAGGCUUACCCUGUGAUUCCCUAAUACGUAGAAUAUAUGACCCAGGAGCACGAGGGAACAUGCUGUUAAUCGAUUCAAAUCUUCUGCAUUUGACAUUUUCAGCGUCUCUCGCAAAAACCGCCUGCCAACACAGAGCACAGCACGGAGCAAUUAACCAAAAUCUGCCUUCCCUGAUGUCUUUAAGAAAUGUCAUGAAGAACCCAAUGAACCCCAUCAGCAAAUGAGCACCCGGGAAUAAACGCGUGCUGCAGGUGACCUGAAACAAAGAGCUCCAUUCCCAAACCUCACCUUUCAUUUAGCAAGAAGGACUAUAACAUAUCCCCCUUUGAAAAGCCUUUCUUUCAGGUGGGCCACUGCAGAACACCACACAAGUAUUACUCAGAGCAAAAGAGAUGUAAAACAGUCUUUGCCUCAAGCGAAACAGAAGGUUGGCUAAACCCACGGGGAACCCAGGAGGUUGGAAAGCAAAGCCUUUGAGUUUUCGUGUUGAGUUUAAAUCCCGAUUUGGUUUUUCCUUCUCCCCCCCCUUCCAGGUGCAGAGCUUUGUACUCACUUUGCCUCGUUGUAUCUUCCUUGGAAGAAGGAGAACAGACCUCGGAUAUAGAAAGCUGCUGCUCGAAGGCAGUGGGAGCUACAAACAAAGCAGAACGUUGACAUUGAGGCACUGCACAGCGACAAACACAGCACGGGCUGUGUCCCAUAACCAAACCUCUGCACAAAACAUUACAUUGAACAAACAGUCAGAGCUUCUGCCUUGAAAAGAAGAGGAUUAUUCUGUCUUCUGUGAAUAAAGCCUGAUACAAAACCAGUAUUACCAUCAUCAGUGCAACAUCAGCACAGUUUCUGGAACUCUCACCUCACAGGAAAAUUGUGGUCUGGAUUUAUCCUUUCCAAUAAGCUGUAAAGCUGCAAAGUGAGAGGGGAAAAAGGAUAAUCAGUGCUUCUGACAUAUACAGCUGAUGGUAUAGACAGCAUGAGUCUGACACAAAGUGCACAUCACAUCAAAACAUUCAAGUCACUACAAACACACUGACAUUUACUUAUAUUGGUUAAAUCAAACAACAGGUGUUCCAAUGCUAGAAAUUAUGUCCAUUCUGGUCCUAGAAAC